This 433-nucleotide ribosomal RNA is filed under the name uncultured bacterium. RNAcentral describes it as "partial 16S ribosomal RNA". It matches the Rfam family "Bacterial small subunit ribosomal RNA", at positions 29 to 507 of the family's 1533-position model. The record is from RNAcentral.
AACGAACGCUGGCGGCAUGCCUAACACAUGCAAGUCGAACGAGACCGUCGGGUCUAGUGGCGCACGGGUGCGUAACGCGUGGGAAUCUGCCCGUGGGUUCGGAAUAACAGUGAGAAAUUACUGCUAAUACCGGAUGAUGUCUUCGGACCAAAGAUUUAUCGCCCAGGGAUGAGCCCGCGUAGGAUUAGCUAGUUGGGGGGGUAAUGGCCUACCAAGGCGACGAUCCUUAGCUGGUCGGAGAGGAUGAUCAGCAACACUGGGACUGAGACACGGCCCAGACUCCUACGGAAGGCAGGAGUGGGGAAUAUUGGACGCUGGACGCAAGCCUGAUCCCGCCAUGCCGCGUGAGUGAUGAAGGCCUUAGGGUUGUAAAGCUCUUUUACCCGGGAUGAUAAUGACGGUACCGGGAGAAUAAGCUCCGGCUAACUCCGUG